Molecule: ribosomal RNA, 253 nt
Filed under: uncultured bacterium
Lineage: Bacteria
Description: partial 16S ribosomal RNA
Rfam family: Bacterial small subunit ribosomal RNA
Source: RNAcentral
UACGGGGGGGGGCAAGCGUUGUUCGGAAUUACUGGGCGUAAAGGGCUCGUAGGUGGCCAACUAAGUCAGACGUGAAAUCCCUCGGCUUAACCGGGGAACUGCGUCUGAUACUGGAUGGCUUGAGUUCGGGAGAGGGAUGCGGAAUUCCAGGUGUAGCGGUGAAAUGCGUAGAUAUCUGGAGGAACACCGGUGGCGAAGGCGGCAUCCUGGACCGACACUGACACUGAGGAGCGAAGCCAGGGGAGCAAACGGG